RNAcentral lists this ribosomal RNA (1447 nucleotides) under uncultured organism. RNAcentral's name for it is "16S ribosomal RNA". It matches the Rfam family "Bacterial small subunit ribosomal RNA". The record is from RNAcentral.
GAACGCUGGCGGCGUGCUUAACACAUGCAAGUCGAACGGAAAGGCCCUGCUUUUGUGGGGUGCUCGAGUGGCGAACGGGUGAGUAACACGUGAGUAACCUGCCCUUGACUUUGGGAUAACUUCAGGAAACUGGGGCUAAUACCGGAUAGGAGCUCCUGCUGCAUGGUGGGGGUUGGAAAGUUUCGGCGGUUGGGGAUGGACUCGCGGCUUAUCAGCUUGUUGGUGGGGUAGUGGCUUACCAAGGCUUUGACGGGUAGCCGGCCUGAGAGGGUGACCGGCCACAUUGGGACUGAGAUACGGCCCAGACUCCUACGGGAGGCAGCAGUGGGGAAUAUUGCACAAUGGGCGGAAGCCUGAUGCAGCAACGCCGCGUGCGGGAUGACGGCCUUCGGGUUGUAAACCGCUUUCGCCUGUGACGAAGCGUGAGUGACGGUAAUGGGUAAAGAAGCACCGGCUAACUACGUGCCAGCAGCCGCGGUGAUACGUAGGGUGCGAGCGUUGUCCGGAUUUAUUGGGCGUAAAGGGCUCGUAGGUGGUUGAUCGCGUCGGAAGUGUAAUCUUGGGGCUUAACCCUGAGCGUGCUUUCGAUACGGGUUGACUUGAGGAAGGUAGGGGAGAAUGGAAUUCCUGGUGGAGCGGUGGAAUGCGCAGAUAUCAGGAGGAACACCAGUGGCGAAGGCGGUUCUCUGGGCCUUUCCUGACGCUGAGGAGCGAAAGCGUGGGGAGCGAACAGGCUUAGAUACCCUGGUAGUCCACGCUGUAAACGGUGGGUACUAGGUGUGGGGUCCAUUCCACGGGUUCCGUGCCGUAGCUAACGCUUUAAGUACCCCGCCUGGGGAGUACGGCCGCAAGGCUAAAACUCAAAGGAAUUGACGGGGCCCCGCACAAGCGGCGGAGCAUGCGGAUUAAUUCGAUGCAACGCGUAGAACCUUACCUGGGUUUGACAUGGAUCGGGAGUGCUCAGAGAUGGGUGUGCCUCUUUUGGGGUCGGUUCACAGGUGGUGCAUGGCUGUCGUCAGCUCGUGUCGUGAGAUGUUGGGUUAAGUCCCGCAACGAGCGCAACCCUUGUUCACUGUUGCCAGCACGUUAUGGUGGGGACUCAGUGGAGACCGCCGGGGUCAACUCGGAGGAAGGUGGGGAUGACGUCAAGUCAUCAUGCCCCUUAUGUCCAGGGCUUCACGCAUGCUACAAUGGCUGGUACAGAGAGUGGCGAGCCUGUGAGGGUGAGCGAAUCUCGGAAAGCCGGUCUCAGUUCGGAUUGGGGUCUGCAACUCGACCUCAUGAAGUCGGAGUCGCUAGUAAUCGCAGAUCAGCAACGCUGCGGUGAAUACGUUCCCGGGGCUUGUACACACCGCCCGUCAAGUCAUGAAAGUUGGUAACACCCGAAGCCGGUGGCCUAACCGUUGUGGGGGAGCCGUCGAAGGUGGGACUGGUGAUUAGGACUAAG